GGCAGACGGGUGAGUAACAUGUGGGAAUCUGCCUUGUGGUUCAGGACAACAUUGGGAAACCGAUGCUAAUACUGGAUAAGCCCUUACGGGGAAAGUUUUAAUGCCAUAAGAUGAGCCCGCAUUUGAUUAGUUAGUUGGUGGGGUAAUAGCUCACCAAGACAAUGAUCAAUAGCUGAUCUGAGAGGAUGAUCAGCCACACUGGGACUGAGACACGGCCCAGACUCCUACGGGAGGCAGCAGUGGGGAAUCUUGCACAAUGGAGGAAACUCUGAUGCAGCGAUGCCGCGUGAGUGAAGAAGGCCUUUGGGUUGUAAAGCUCUUUUGUAGGGGAAGAUAAUGACUGUACCCUAAGAAUAAGGUCCGGCUAACUUCGUGCCAGCAGCCGCGGUAAUACGAAGGGACCUAGCGUAGUUCGGAAUUACUGGGCGUAAAGCGCGCGUAGGCCGUUGAGUUAGUUAAUUGUGAAAUCCCAAAGCUUAACUUUGGAACUGCAAUUAAAACUGCUCGACUAAAGUUUGAUAGAGGAAAGCGAAAUACAUAGUGUAGAGGUGAAAUUCGUAGAUAUUAUGUAGAACACCAGUUGCGAAGGCGGCUUUCUGGAUCAACACUGACGCUGAGGCGCGAAAGUAUGGGUAGCAAAGAGGAUUAGAUACCCUCGUAGUCCAUACCAUAAACGAUGAUUGCUAGAUGUUGGAAAUUUAUUUUCAGUAUCGCAGCUAACGCAUUAAGCAAUCCGCCUGGGGAGUACGACCGCAAGGUUAAAACUCAAAUGAAUUGACGGGGACCCGCACAAGCGGUGGAGCAUGUGGUUUA
Molecule: ribosomal RNA, 813 nt
Filed under: uncultured bacterium
Lineage: Bacteria
Description: bacterial SSU rRNA
Rfam family: Bacterial small subunit ribosomal RNA
Source: RNAcentral